RNAcentral lists this unclassified non-coding RNA (649 nucleotides) under Hevea brasiliensis (rubber tree). The record is from RNAcentral. Lineage: Eukaryota; Viridiplantae; Streptophyta; Magnoliopsida; Malpighiales; Euphorbiaceae.
UUUUCAUCCAUUGGUAGAGCAGCUACAGUUAUAUCAGCAUCAGUUUCUCUGUGUGCUUGAAUAAACCUUUCAUAAUCCAUCCGAUAUAAAUGAUCCCCUGCAAGAAUCAAGAAUUCCAGAACAUUGUGCUCCUCAAAUAACCACAAAUACUGUCUGACAGCAUCAGCUGUGCCCUGGAACCAAUUUGGGUUCUCUGGGCUCUGCUGAGCUGCAAGAACUUCAACAAAACCUUCAUUCUUGUAGCCACCCAUGUUGCUUGCAUAUGCCCGAGAAAGGUGACGAUUAAGAGAUGCAGAGUUGAAUUGCGUAAGAACAUAAAUCUUUGAUAUAUUACUGUUCAAGCAGUUGCUAACAGGAAUAUCAAUCAGCCUGUAAUUUGCUCCUAAAGGAACAGCAGGUUUUGCCCUCUUCUUGGUAAGUGGGUAAAGGCGGGUCCCAGCACCACCUCCAAGAAUAAUUCCCAAGACACUUCUGCUAGCGUCAGGGUCAAGACAAGUUUGCGAAUUCCUGGAAUCGGAAACAGCCUUAGGAGAAACGAUCGUAGGAGUCCUCUCAUUAUAAGCAAUUCCUCGGCGAGCAGAAAAAACCUUGGAAUAAAUCUUAUCACCAGAGAGGUCAGACGAUGAGAAGGAAAGGCUUCUCACAGGCG